This 564-nucleotide long non-coding RNA is filed under the name Populus tremula. Its description in RNAcentral is "long non-coding RNA (PTRE_LNC000360)". Lineage: Eukaryota; Viridiplantae; Streptophyta; Magnoliopsida; Malpighiales; Salicaceae. The record is from RNAcentral.
GGGGGGGAGCUUGAGCUGCGGUGGAGAGGCAGCGGUGGAAGGGGCUGGUUCGGUUUGCUGCUGUUUGGGAGAGGUUGAGAGUCAGGGACGAGAGACAGAGGUGGAAGGGGCUGGUCCGGUGCUGAUGAGAGGAAGAUCGGCGUGUGGGUGGUGCUGGUUUGGGGAAGAAAAGAAAAAUGAAAACGGUGAGGGGGCUGUUCGGUUUUGGAGGAGAAGGGAGAGGAUUUUUAUUUUUUUUGUGGCUUCGGGUCAGGGCUUGGAUUGCUGGUUGAAGGGAAGAAGAUGAAAAAAUAAAAAUAAAAAUGGUGAAGAAGGGGAGUAGUGAAAACCGGCUGCUGAGGGGGAAGAAAAUCAAAGAGCUAAGGGGCUCUUUUGGGUGAGCGGCUGCAGGGGAGAAGAAGAAAAUCUCCAACGGGACUGGAGACUGUGGGUGCUGCCCCCUACUGCCGGGACCCGAAAAAAUGGCUCAAAUCUUUCCACCAGGUACAAGGCUGGGGAUGAGAAGAAAUAUGGGUUUUUUUCAUUAUGAGGAGGGCCACCCUGUCGGCGGGAAACAAAGAAAAG